ACCGACCGCCAUAUCACCCUGCAGCCCAAGACUGGUUGCCCACUGAAGCUAAGCAGGGUUGAGCCUGGUCAGUACCUGGGUGGGAGACCUCCUGGGAAAACUAGGUUGCUGUUGGAA
Molecule: ribosomal RNA, 117 nt
Filed under: Sinocyclocheilus grahami
Lineage: Eukaryota; Metazoa; Chordata; Actinopteri; Cypriniformes; Cyprinidae
Source: RNAcentral